AGUGAACGCUGGCGGUAGGCCUAACACAUGCAAGUCGAACGGCAGCACAGUAAGAGCUUGCUCUUACGGGUGGCGAGUGGCGGACGGGUGAGGAAUACAUCGGAAUCUACUUUUUCGUGGGGGAUAACGUAGGGAAACUUACGCUAAUACCGCAUACGACCUACGGGUGAAAGCAGGGGAUCUUCGGGCCUUGCGCGAUUGAAUGAGCCGAUGUCGGAUUAGCUAGUUGGCGGGGUAAAGGCCCACCAAGGCGACGAUCCGUAGCUGGUCUGAGAGGAUGAUAGGCCACACUGGAACUGAGACACGGUCCAGACUCCGACGGGAGGCAGCAGUGGGGAAUAUUGGACAAUGGGCGCAAGCCUGAUCCAGCCAUACCGCGUGGGUGAAGAAGGCCUUCGGGUUGUAAAGCCCUUUUGUUGGGAAAGAAAAGCAGCAGGUUAAUACCCCGCUGUUCUGACGGUACCCAAAGAAUAAGCACCGGCUAACUUCGUG
RNAcentral lists this ribosomal RNA (492 nucleotides) under uncultured bacterium. RNAcentral's name for it is "partial 16S ribosomal RNA". It matches the Rfam family "Bacterial small subunit ribosomal RNA", at positions 29 to 507 of the family's 1533-position model. The record is from RNAcentral.